Molecule: ribosomal RNA, 253 nt
Filed under: uncultured bacterium
Lineage: Bacteria
Description: partial 16S ribosomal RNA
Rfam family: Bacterial small subunit ribosomal RNA
Source: RNAcentral
UACGAAGGGGGCUAGCGUUGCUCGGAAUCACUGGGCGUAAAGGGUGCGUAGGCGGGUCUUUAAGUCCGGGGUGAAAUCCUGGAGCUCAACUCCAGAACUGCCUUUGAUACUGAGGAUCUUGAGUACGGGAGAGGUGAGUGGAACUGCGAGUGUAGAGGUGAAAUUCGUAGAUAUUCGCAAGAACACCAGUGGCGAAGGCGGCUCACUGGCCCGUUACUGACGCUGAGGCACGAAAGCGUGGGGAGCAAACAGG